GUGAAAAAGUAGCUCCCUUUUAGUUCAAAUGGAUCCAAAAAAUGGGUGCUGCAUUACAGUUCAAGACCAUUGCAUCUACUUGCGGAUGGCUUCCAUUUUGUGCUCCAUGGGUGUUUGUUCUUAUUCCUGAAAGAAAGAAAAUAAUCUAUUGCAUGUGAUAGUUCAUCUGAUCUAUAUGAUUUUUUUACCUAUUUUGCUCCAUUUUUUUCCUUACAGAUCAUGAUCUUGAGAGGCUCGCUGUCGAGACUAAAGGGAAAUUCCAUUUUCCAAUUGUUCUUUUAGUAGUACUGUUUCAGUCCAACUUUGAUAGGAUAAUGAGGAUCAGUGAACUUCCAAUGGUUACUUCUUAUAGUUGUUCUUUGUAUUACUUCAUGGGCGAUAGGGAUAUGCACAAGUCGUUGUCGUCCACAUCGUCGCCACAAGGAAACACCAGCAUCACUGCCAGCUACACGCACAUCUUUGGCACAACCAGUUUCUCAAGUUGUCGCCGCGUGGACGCGUCCCACUCCAACGGCAUGGCUUAUGCUUCAGUGGCAAACAGUGGAGCCCGCUGGAGGAGUCACGGGUCAAGGACCUCCUGCUCAACAGUACAACGUCUUGUUUUGUGGCAAGUCGCUCAAGGAGCUGAGUGCAUGCCGCAGAAAAAACAAUUGUCGGGUUUUUGGUGGCCAAAUAUUAUUGAUAUGGAGAUGGAUAACUAUGUGGAUGUGCUCCUGUUGUUUUUCUGGAAAAAAACAAGAUGCCAUGUUUUACUUUAUGAGCUUUCCAAUUUGCAUACUUUAAAGUUGCUGCUUGCUCCCACCCUUAGAUUGUGCAAUUUCAAUGGGUGUCGUCGUGCAUGUUCGGAAGUAUGCCCUUUGUGCAAAAUGUGUGAAGUUUUGUCAGUAUUUUGUAUUUUCAUUUGGCAGAGGCUUCAUGUGGUCUUAUGGAGCUUUAUAGAUGUACUGUCACUACACUUUUAAGGCCCUACAGUUCAUUAUAUCAUACAUGUGUGGUCGUUCAAUAUGUAUUACAUGAUCAAUUCUUUGAAAAGAAGAACACAAUAGUUCGAUCGAAAACAA
This 1061-nucleotide ribosomal RNA is filed under the name Triticum aestivum (bread wheat). RNAcentral's name for it is "partial small subunit ribosomal RNA". Lineage: Eukaryota; Viridiplantae; Streptophyta; Magnoliopsida; Poales; Poaceae. The record is from RNAcentral.